This is an RNA transcript of Lytechinus pictus (painted urchin), 3787 nucleotides long. It is a transcript of the gene named prenylated Rab acceptor protein 1-like, with no coding region annotated. The transcript has 5 exons. Lineage: Eukaryota; Metazoa; Echinodermata; Echinoidea; Temnopleuroida; Toxopneustidae. The record is from RefSeq and is a predicted model, not a curated record.
CUUUCUUUUUUUUCAUACAGCAUGGCAGCAAUGAACCUUUCAGGGUCGUCUGCAAGAGAAUGGAUUUCAAAACGUCGUCAAACCAUACAACCAUGGUCCCAAUUUAUCAGCACAUCUCGGUUCACCAAGCCCACAUCAGUCACUGUAGCUGGAACCAGGGUGGUCAAAAAUAUUGAGCAUUUCCAGAGCAACUAUCUCUUUGUUUUCAUCAUCCUUGCUAUCUACUGCAUAAUGACAUCACCCAUGCUUAUCAUCUUUCUUGGUGGUAUCUUUGGAGCCUUUUAUUGGAUCAAUGUCAAAAAUCAGAGCAAAAGACUCAAGAUCGGAAGUUAUGAGUUGACUCUUGUACAGCAGUAUGGUGCCGUGGCAGUCCUAUCUAUUCCCUUGUUUUUCCUUGCGGGGGCUGGAUCGGCAGUCUUCUGGGUUUUAGGUGCCUCAUUCUUUUUCAUCAUGCUACAUGCCGUUUUCUACAACCCACAAGAUCAACUAGAUGAUAUACAAAUGGAAGAAGUGUAAGCAUCCCCAUGACAACUUAAACCUCACUUGCUAUCACAUGCAGGGUUAAAAAUUAAUCCCAUGAGAGCUUAUGAGCUAUCAAUAGUGUACUCAAUGAUGCUAAGAUGUUUCUUUAUUCAAAAUAUCUUUUAACUGCCUAAAGAUUCAAAUAUUAUUUUUGCCAACUAUUUGUAUCAAAUGAAUGGAAUCAAAUGAAUUUUACAAAGUGCCUCUUUGAAUUAAAGAUCAUUAUGAAUUUAAUUUUGUUCUUAGAAAUUCUAUUAUUUGAUGUUUAUUAUGUUUUUCAGUAUACAUACUUAUAUUUAGAAAUGUAAUAAGAGUCACAGUGAUUCAACACAGUAACAAAUAUGGCUUUCCUGAUAUUUAUGCUCAUGUUAAUCAUGUUGUACAAUUAGAAGAAGAUAGCAAACCUUACAUCAUGUAACAUGUAAAUUUAUAUAUUUUGAGAAUAGGCUUACUUGGCAAUUAUUAGUUAUAUGUGAAAAUAACUAUUAUGAUCUAGAUAAUGUUCAUAUUGAAUAGCAGCCAAUAAUACAUUGAACUCAUUGGGGCUAAUUAUGUAUUCAUGAGGUCAUAUCUUGGGGCCCCGUGGACCGAUUCCCACCAAAUUUGGGUUGUGGGGUUGUUUCAUCAUGCUCAAGCAAAAUAUGGUACUAAAAAUGGUAAAAUACAACAAAAAAGAAGAAAUUGAUGAUGUCACUCUUUGGUACUCUAUUGAAAUUGAUCUUAAUCUCUUCCAAGCCUUUACCCAAGGGUCCCAUAACAGCUAUCCUGUCAAUAGUCAAACAAUUUUCAUGAUUAAUUGCUCAUUCAUUUUAGCCAGUGCAAUCAAUCAAAAUAAUUUGUGUUUUGAAGCCCAGCAGAGCAUUUCAUGAAUUUGUCAAAUCUAUUUAUCCGACGAAGUCUGUUUUGUCUGACAGUUACAAUAUGAACUGUGUUUCUCAAGCCAAUUAAAAUAAAAAAAGUCGUCCGAUCUGUGAGACGGCAAACCUUGAUGAAACCCCCUACAUAUAAUCAUGUUAUAUAUCCUGCUUUAACCAUUUCCAUUUCUCACUAUGCUCUCAAAACACUGAACACCACCACCAACAGUAAAUUAAAGUGACCCAUUUAUUUUGAUUAAUCAGCUUGCUAUAGAAAUAUGUGUGUGUUGCAACUGUACAGAGAAAUUGUAGAUUUCAUUAUAGUAAUAAUUUCUCAUGCUCUAUUUAGCCAAUUAAAUUUUGUCACAUUCCUUUAAUCAUUGCAUGUUUAAAAAAAAUCCAUUCCUUCUUCAUGGAAUUCUAAGGUAAUAAUGUCUUUCCUUCCUUUUAUAUUCCCCCUGCUUUUUCUUUACUAAAUUCUCUCUAUUUAUCCCUCCCUCUGUCUCUCUCUGACUCUGUUUCUCUACCUCUCUCUCUGUUUCUCUGUUCCUCUCUCCCACUGGCUCUUCAUCUCCCUCUUUCCUUCUCUCUUUUCUCUCACUACUCAUUUGCAGAUCAUUUGGCAGUGCAUGAGGUCCCUCACAACCAAAUGCUUCAUAACAUCCCUUCAAUGUGUUUGAUGGAUUCACCCAGCUUCAGGCUUCUUAACAUUGAAAACACCUUGCAUGCUAUUGGAUUAUUCCAUUUUCAUUGAAAGGGAUUUUGUCAAUACAAACUGCUGAGGAGACAUAAGUUUAGAGGACAUUUUUAUAUGUAGUUUUUGUAUAUCAUUUCAGAAUAAAGUCAUACUUGUACAUGUAUUUUUAUAGAGCUAUAUAUAUGUAUGUAUGUAUAUUAGCACAGAUAUUAGUUCCAAGUGCUGAACUGAAGUAAAACGGUGUAAAGGGUUGUUCAGAUAUGGGGCAAUUAUGUUUCCUUGCAUGUUUUUUAAAGCACAACAGAACUGAAUAAUAUUAUAUAAUAAUAAUUGUAAGAAUAUCCAAUUGAAGAGAUUUAUGAGUCCAAGGCCACCGCCCCAUCCCCCCUCCAAGAAUUUUUUUUUUGCUGUGACAUUUAUUUCCUAUCUCCUAUAUAUGUAUUCAUUGACUUUCUUCACAAAAGUAUGUUAGUGGUUUCUUUUUGACAGUUCUUUGUGCCAUAUCUGAACAUGCCUUUACAAGUUUAUGUUAUUACUGAGUUUUUAGUGCAUGACACUCUUUCUUACACUGUAGGCUGAUAAAAUAAGAUUCAAACUUAAACAUGUAUUGUAUUCUGGGAUUUUAUAACUGUUUUGACCAAAGGUAAUCUUUCAAACUGGUUGAUGUUAAUUGCUAGCUUGAUCUUUUAUAUUAGUGCUCCAGCUUGUUUCUUUGAAUGAUAUACGGUACAUGUAGCAAAGUAUCAAGUGGGUGUUUCAUAAAGCUGUUUGUAAGUGACUUCUUGAUGAUUGACUGGUGGUCCUUUCUUGUGGUAAAGGACACACACCAAAUUUUCAUUGAUGUUGAUUUAGCACUUAAGAAGGGAUCACCAGUUGAGCGUGAAGUGGCUUGUAACUUACAAACAGCUUUAUGAAACACCUAGCUAGGGUCUUCGGCCUUGUGGAGUAUAACUUAUUAAAAUCUAACAUGGAUAGGUAAACGUGUGUGAAGUGUACAUGAUAAGGAUGGAGUUUAGUAAGUAUGUCUAUGUAUACGAAUAGACACUCUUGUAUGAUAUCAAAUUGAUGAGAAAUUAUGUUAUGGAAUAUGGAUAAUAAACUAAUCUAUAAGAUAUUGUAGGGAAGAUUUUAUGAGAAUAGAGGGAUGAAUUACGACAUUUUGAUUAAAUGGAAUGUUAAAUAUCUAUAAUUGAAUGCAUGAAAAAUUAUUUUGCUAUGUUAAAAUUGUAGGCCUGUAUUUAAAUUAAAGCCGAGGUACAUUAAUCCACCUCAAAAUUUUGUAUAUCUAAUUUUUUGAAGAUGUCAUCCUCAUUCCGUAUACAUGCAUGUGAAAAAUAAUAAAAUUCAAUAACGAUAAUGGUAACAGAAAUUCGGCUCUGCCCUUUUCACAAUAUGUUCUAAUUAUUAUGCAUAGAGGAGUGUGUAGUGGCGAAAAAGUAAAAUUUAGGGUAUUUACAUUAGUGCCACAAGCACAGGGCACCAAUCUGAAUAGCCGAGAUCCCUGUAUCACCAACGACAUUGCAAACUUGAAUCUGUGCAUCAUUUGUUUUAUAAAUGAAUUGUAUGAAUUCUGCUAUUGGCUACAUCCUUUAGCCUGUUUGAUCAAUAAUUAAUUUUGCUCAUUUGCAUGGUAUUUUGGGUUUAUUUUGUGACAAUGUCGAUGUAUGUUUCACUUAAUAUUGCUUUGAAAAUACACGCAAUAUAUAACUUUUUA